This 209-nucleotide microRNA precursor is filed under the name Oryza nivara. Its description in RNAcentral is "MIR812 microRNA precursor family". It matches the Rfam family "MIR812 microRNA precursor family". Lineage: Eukaryota; Viridiplantae; Streptophyta; Magnoliopsida; Poales; Poaceae. The record is from Rfam by way of RNAcentral.
AACAAAUGUAAUUUCGCACUAUUCUUAUCUAAUGUUUGACAUUUCAUCUUAUUUAAAUUUUUUUUAUGAUUAGUAUUUUUAUUGUUAUUAGAUGAUAAAUCAUAAAUAGUAUUUUAUGUGUGACUAAUAUUUUUAAAUUUUUUUAUAGAUUUUUUUAAAUAAGACAGACGGUCAAACGUUGGAUACAGAUAUCCUCGGCUACAUUUAUU